Molecule: ribosomal RNA, 483 nt
Filed under: uncultured bacterium
Lineage: Bacteria
Description: partial 16S ribosomal RNA
Rfam family: Bacterial small subunit ribosomal RNA
Source: RNAcentral
GACGAACGCUGGCGGCGUGCUUAACACAUGCAAGUCGAACGCUGAAGCUCAGCUUUUGUUGGGUGGAUGAGUGGCGAACGGGUGAGUAACACGUGAGUAACCUGCCCCCUUCUUUGGGAUAACGCCCGGAAACGGGUGCUAAUACUGGAUAUUCACUGGUCUUCGCAUGGGGGUUGGUGGAAAGGGUUUUUCUGGUGGGGGAUGGGCUCGCGGCCUAUCAGCUUGUUGGUGGGGUGAUGGCCUACCAAGGCUUUGACGGGUAGCCGGCCUGAGAGGGUGACCGGUCACAUUGGGACUGAGAUACGGCCCAGACUCCUACGGGAGGCGGCAGUGGGGAAUAUUGCACAAUGGGCGCAAGCCUGAUGCAGCGACGCCGCGUGAGGGAUGGAGGCCUUCGGGUUGUGAACCUCUUUUGCUCAUGGUCAAGCCGCAACAAUGGUUGUGGUGAGGGUAGUGGGUAAAGAAGCGCCGGCUAACUACGUG